AUUGAACGCUGGCGGCAUGCCUUACACAUGCAAGUCGAACGGUAACAGGUCUUCGGAUGCUGACGAGUGGCGAACGGGUGAGUAAUACAUCGGAACGUGCCUAGUAGUGGGGGAUAACUACUCGAAAGAGUGGCUAAUACCGCAUGAGAUCUACGGAUGAAAGCAGGGGAUCGCAAGACCUUGUGCUACUAGAGCGGCCGAUGGCAGAUUAGGUAGUUGGUGGGAUAAAAGCUUACCAAGCCGACGAUCUGUAGCUGGUCUGAGAGGACGAUCAGCCAAACGGGGACUGAGACACGGCCCAGACUCCUACGGGAGGCAGCAGUGGGGAAUUUUGGACAAUGGGCGCAGCCUGAUCAAGCAAUGCCGCGUGCAGGAUGAAGGCCUUCGGGUUGUAAACUGCUUUUGUACGGAACGAAAAGCCCCGGGUUAAUACCCUGGGGUCAUGACGGUACCGUAAGAAUAAGCACCGGCUAACUACGUGCCAGCCGCCGCCGUAA
This 497-nucleotide ribosomal RNA is filed under the name uncultured bacterium. RNAcentral describes it as "partial 16S ribosomal RNA". It matches the Rfam family "Bacterial small subunit ribosomal RNA", at positions 30 to 523 of the family's 1533-position model. The record is from RNAcentral.